AGCGAACGCUGGCGGCAGGCUUAACACAUGCAAGUCGAGCGGGCGUAGCAAUACGUCAGCGGCAGACGGGUGAGUAACGCGUGGGAACAUACCUUUUGGUUCGGAACAACACAGGGAAACUUGUGCUAAUACCGGAUAAGCCCUUACGGGGAAAGAUUUAUCGCCGAAAGAUUGGCCCGCGUCUGAUUAGCUAGUUGGUAGGGUAAUGGCCUACCAAGGCGACGAUCAGUAGCUGGUCUGAGAGGAUGAUCAGCCACAUUGGGACUGAGACACGGCCCAAACUCCUACGGGAGGCAGCAGUGGGGAAUAUUGGACAAUGGGGGCAACCCUGAUCCAGCCAUGCCGCGUGAGUGAUGAAGGCCCUAGGGUUGUAAAGCUCUUUUGUGCGGGAAGAUAAUGACG
Molecule: ribosomal RNA, 402 nt
Filed under: Bradyrhizobiaceae bacterium Ellin5416
Lineage: Bacteria; Pseudomonadati; Pseudomonadota; Alphaproteobacteria; Hyphomicrobiales; Nitrobacteraceae
Description: bacterial SSU rRNA
Rfam family: Bacterial small subunit ribosomal RNA
Source: RNAcentral